Molecule: transfer RNA, 69 nt
Filed under: Mustela putorius furo (domestic ferret)
Lineage: Eukaryota; Metazoa; Chordata; Mammalia; Carnivora; Mustelidae
Rfam family: tRNA
About the family: Transfer RNA (tRNA) molecules are approximately 80 nucleotides in length. Their secondary structure includes four short double-helical elements and three loops (D, anti-codon, and T loops).
Source: Rfam by way of RNAcentral
ACCUGGCUGGCUCAGAAGGGUACAUGACUCUUGAUCUUGGGGUCGGGGGUUCAAUCCCCAUGUUGGGUA